This 75-nucleotide transfer RNA is filed under the name Mycoplasmataceae bacterium. RNAcentral's name for it is "tRNA-Cys". It matches the Rfam family "tRNA". From Rfam's summary of the family: Transfer RNA (tRNA) molecules are approximately 80 nucleotides in length. Their secondary structure includes four short double-helical elements and three loops (D, anti-codon, and T loops). The record is from RNAcentral. Lineage: Bacteria; Bacillati; Mycoplasmatota; Mollicutes; Mycoplasmatales; Mycoplasmataceae.
GGUGCCGUAGCCAAGUGGUAAGGUCCGAAGCUGCAACCUUCGUAUUCGUUGGUUCAAAUCCAAUCGGCACCUCCA